UAUCGUCUGUGAUGAGACCACAGAAUUCUGCGUCAGGCAUGGCGCCUGAUAGCAAUGACGAGUUCUUCUGUUGCCUUCCUUCUGAGACCGCC
Nerophis lumbriciformis (worm pipefish) is the source of this 92-nucleotide small nucleolar RNA. RefSeq annotates it as small nucleolar RNA U83B. NCBI's taxonomy places the organism in Eukaryota, Metazoa, Chordata, Actinopteri, Syngnathiformes, Syngnathidae. The record is from RefSeq and is a predicted model, not a curated record.